GACGAACGCUGGCGGCGUGCUUAACACAUGCAAGUCGAACGGAAAGGCCCUGCUUUUGUGGGGUGCUCGAGUGGCGAACGGGUGAGUAACACGUGAGUAACCUGCCCUUGACUUUGGGAUAACUUCAGGAAACUGGGGCUAAUACCGGAUAGGAGCUCCUGCUGCAUGGUGGUGGUUGGAAAGUUUCGGCGGUUGUGGAUGGACUCGCGGCUUAUCCGCUUGUUGGUGGGGUAGUGGCUUACCAAGGCUUUGACGGGUAGGCGGCCUGAGAGGGUGACCGGGCACAUGGGGACUGAGAUACGGCGCAGAAUGGUACGGGAGGCAGCAGGGGGGAAUAUUGCACAGUGGGCGGAAGCGUGAGGCAGCAACGCCGCGUGCGGGAUGACGGCCUUCGGGUUGUAAACCGAUGUCGACUGUGACGAAGAGUGAGUGACGGUAAUGGGUAAAGAAGCACCGGCUAACUACGUG
This 468-nucleotide ribosomal RNA is filed under the name uncultured bacterium. Its description in RNAcentral is "partial 16S ribosomal RNA". It matches the Rfam family "Bacterial small subunit ribosomal RNA", at positions 28 to 507 of the family's 1533-position model. The record is from RNAcentral.